This 445-nucleotide ribosomal RNA is filed under the name uncultured bacterium. Its description in RNAcentral is "bacterial SSU rRNA". It matches the Rfam family "Bacterial small subunit ribosomal RNA", at positions 354 to 796 of the family's 1533-position model. The record is from RNAcentral.
GUGGGGAAUUUUGCGCAAUGGGCGAAAGCCUGACGCAGCAAUGCCGCGUGAAGGACGAAGGUCUUCGGAUUGUAAACUUCUUUUGCAGGGGAAAAAUGUACGGGUGAAAAACCCGUAUUGAUGGUACUCUGCGAAUAAGCCACGGCUAACUUCGUGCCAGCAGCCGCGGUAAGACGAAGGUGGCAAGCGUUACUCGGAUUUACUAGGCGUAAAGCGUGGGCAGGUGGUUCGAUAAGUCUGUUGUGAAAGCUCCUGGCUUAACCGGGAGAGGUCAAUGGAUACUGUCGGACUUGAAUGUGGGAGAGGUGACUGGAAUUCCUGGUGUAGCGGUGAAAUGCGUAGAUAUCAGGAGGAACACCGAUGGCGAAAGCAGGUCACUGGACCACUAUUGACACUCAUCCACGAAAGCUAGGGGAUCAAACAGGAUUAGAUACCCUGGUAGUCC